UAUUUUAGUCUAGUUGGAGGAACCUGUUUUAUAAACGAUACACCACGUAAAAUUUUUCUUAUUCUUGUAAAGUUAGUAUACCUUCAUUAUUAGAUAAUAUUGAGAGAUAUUGUUGGAAUCAAAGUUUUUGAGUAUAUUAGAUCACGGUGCUGCCUAUGAAUAAGUAUAAAUGGGUUACAAUAAAAAUUUAUUUAGACGGAGCUAGGAGUUAAAUUCCUAGUGAAGGGGGAUUCAAUUGUAAUCUAGAAUUUAGUAAGGCUAGAUGGUAAUAGCUCUAGAAUGUGUACAUAU
Molecule: ribosomal RNA, 291 nt
Filed under: Linuparus trigonus
Lineage: Eukaryota; Metazoa; Arthropoda; Malacostraca; Decapoda; Palinuridae
Description: partial 12S ribosomal RNA
Source: RNAcentral